Molecule: ribosomal RNA, 559 nt
Filed under: uncultured bacterium
Lineage: Bacteria
Description: bacterial SSU rRNA
Rfam family: Bacterial small subunit ribosomal RNA
Source: RNAcentral
GAGGAGGCGACAGUGGCGACCGGGUGAGUAACACGUAGCUGACCUACCCCUGGCAGGGGGAUAACCCCGGGAAACCGGGGCUAAGACCGCGUWAGCUCGUCGGGAUUAGYGGCCUGAUGAGGAAAGUCCUUUCGGGGAUGGCGAGGGCGGGGGCUGCGGGCCAUCAGCYGGCUGGUGGGGUAACGGCCUACCAGGGCGACGACGGCAAGGGGGCCUGAGAGGGUGACCCCCCACACUGGAACUGACACACGGUCCAGACUCCUACGGGAGGCAGCAGUAAGGGAYAUUGGUCAAUGGGCGCAAGCCUGAACCAGCAACGCCGCGUGCGGGAAGACGGUUUUCGGACUGUAAACCGCUUUUCUCGGGGACGAUGAUGACGGUACCCGAGGAAGAAGUCUCGGCUAACUACGUGCCAGCAGCCGCGGUAAAACGUAGGAGGCGAGCGUUAUCCGGAUUUACUGGGCGUAAAGCGCGUGCAGGCGGAGCGAUAAGUCGUGCGUGAAAGCUCCCAGGCUUAACCGGGAGAGGACGUGCGAGACUGUGGUUCUGGGAGGCAGGC